RNAcentral lists this ribosomal RNA (372 nucleotides) under Triticum aestivum (bread wheat). RNAcentral's name for it is "partial small subunit ribosomal RNA". The record is from RNAcentral. Lineage: Eukaryota; Viridiplantae; Streptophyta; Magnoliopsida; Poales; Poaceae.
AUGCAACUUCUUUCUGGGGGCCACAUGGUUGUGGCUGUGAACGGCAUGAUCACUAAUUAUUUCGCCAAUGGUCGUGGCCUGCGGCAAGGCGAUCCGGCUUCGCCUAUCUUGUUUAACUUUAUGGAUGAUGCAUUAUCUUGUAUACUGGAUCGUGCAACCUCAGCUGGUCAUAUCACCCCUGUCGUUUCCCACCUUCUCCCACGCGGUAUCACGCACCUCCAAUACGCUGACGAUACGAUCAUCUUGGUGGAGAUGAAUGAGGCAUGUCUUGCCAACCUUAAGUUUAUCUUGUUACAUUUUGAAGCCUUGUCGGGGUUGAAGAUUAACUUUUCUAAAAGUGAGGUGAUUGUGACUAGGGCUAAUGUGACUUGA